UGUAGCUCAGUUGGUAGAGCAUUUGCCUAGCAUGCAUAAAGCCCUGGGUUUGGUCCCCGGUA
This 62-nucleotide transfer RNA is filed under the name Mesocricetus auratus (golden hamster). It matches the Rfam family "tRNA", at positions 6 to 65 of the family's 71-position model. From Rfam's summary of the family: Transfer RNA (tRNA) molecules are approximately 80 nucleotides in length. Their secondary structure includes four short double-helical elements and three loops (D, anti-codon, and T loops). The record is from Rfam by way of RNAcentral. Lineage: Eukaryota; Metazoa; Chordata; Mammalia; Rodentia; Cricetidae.